Cyprinus carpio carpio is the source of this 119-nucleotide ribosomal RNA. The record is from Ensembl. NCBI's taxonomy places the organism in Eukaryota, Metazoa, Chordata, Actinopteri, Cypriniformes, Cyprinidae.
ACUUACGGCCAUACCACCCUCAGCGUGCCCGAUCUCAUCUGAUCUCGGAAGCUAAGCAGGGUCGGGCCUGGUUAGUACUUGGACGGGAGACCGCCUGGGAAUACCAGGUCCUGUAAGCU